Molecule: long non-coding RNA, 1385 nt
Organism: Harpia harpyja (harpy eagle)
Lineage: Eukaryota; Metazoa; Chordata; Aves; Accipitriformes; Accipitridae
Exons: 2
Source: RefSeq, a predicted model, not a curated record
CCUCGGGUAUGGACAUGGGAAUGGAAGUGAGCUGGCUGCCUUCCAUGUCCAGCAGAGCGGAGAUGGAGACCCCCAAAUCGUGACAGCCCCAAGCGAGGUUCGAGGGGGACGGGAGCAGCGGCGAGCUCUCCUCUUGUGAGGAGGAGGGAAAGGCUGAUGCAUCCCUGCUUGUCCUCUACCUCGGGUGGUCCCUCCUGGAGUUUAAUGACCCCCGAGCUCCUGCCUGGUUCUGAAAAGGUGGCAGGGUCCCAAAAAAGCUGGCAUGGUGGGUGUGCCUUCCCAUGGCAGUGAGCAUCCUGAUGACGUGAGCCGAUGCGGGGAGGAUUCAUGGGUCCGGGGAAGGGGAUGGAGCCACUGUGUGUGCACACCCAGCUCAGCACCAUGACCCCCGGGAUGUGCCGGGACAUCCUCCCGUCAGCAUCAUCCCGCAGUCCUGCCUGCCCCGGCUCAGCAGCUAAGGUGGGCAUUCACAUGCCGGCAGCCGACAGGGAGCAGCGGGGCCCAGAUUUGCCGGUGCAUUAGUAAAUGAGGCUCUGAUCUCCUUACAUAAAUCAAAGUGCAUUUGCUGACCAAGGGCUACAACCCGAGCGAGCGCAUGCCGAUGUGGCCCCCAUGGCCCCCCGCCUCCCCCUCCCCACCCCCCUGCCAGCCACUGACAUUUAACAUGAUUAAUAUUACCUGGCAUCUUUCAAUCUUUUUUUUUUUUGCUGGCUCUGAUGGCCAAAAAGCAUCGAGCGAGCCUCCCCCGCACCCGCUGCCCACUCCCCUGCUGCCUGCGCAGCAGCAGAUGGGAAGCCGGGUGCCUGCCGAACAGCCGGGGAGAAGGCGCUUCCCCCCCGCCUCUCCCCUCCCCAAAGGUCACUGGUAGAUAACAGCUGCACAGCUAGCAUUAAUAAUUUGGCAAAUAAUUUGAUUUGGGAGAAAGAUGCUCAAGCGGCAGCUCGGAGAUGAGGAGGAUGGUUAGGGGAUGCAGCCCAACUUGGCAUUGGAGGGACCACCCGGCACAUCCCAGCUGCGGUGGGGUGGGAUGGGGAGAUGGAGCCGUGCAUGAAAGCAGGGAUGUAGGCUCCAAACCUGCAGCUCGAGCAAUCAAAAGCGUGCGGCAGACAGGAGCGUGCCAGCCUCCGCCGCAGCCAGGCGGCCUGAAGGGAUGAGAAAAGCUCUCGGAGCCCGCGGGAUGCGGACGAAGAGGCGAAGGCGACCCCCAUCCCACCUGCACUGCCCCCACCAACACAGCCGGCUCUGCUUGGAUAUGAGCGUGGGCAGCCCCGGGUGGGAAUUAUCCCUGCCAGGAGAAUGAGAAUUAACCUUUCCUUCCCUCCCGCCAUCCCUCCCCUGCCUUUCAGCCAGCUGCACCAGUGGGUCCCCAAGACCAACCCUCCUCC